This is a long non-coding RNA of Dendrobium catenatum, 470 nucleotides long. RefSeq lists it as uncharacterized. Lineage: Eukaryota; Viridiplantae; Streptophyta; Magnoliopsida; Asparagales; Orchidaceae. The transcript has 4 exons. The record is from RefSeq and is a predicted model, not a curated record.
UCUCUAUUUUUUGUCCUAAAGGAAAAUAGAUUGAGGUUGGUCCUAGGUUUAGGGCCAGUAUACACAGGUGCGGUGGUACAUCGACUCAGGGCUCAGUAGCGCGUUCGCCGGAUGCCCAUCUUCUUCUUCUUAUUGGUAUCUCCGCCGCUGGAAUGUUCUGGAGUUUGCGGAAGAUUUGAUGAUAUAGGUCACCAUUUUUGUGCGGGAUAAAAGAAUGGUAAAGUGUAGGAAUACCAAAAUAAAUGUGAAACUACCAGGAAUAAUGAAGAAUUGCAUGUCAGUGGAGAUGGACCUGGGCUACUUAGUUUGAGGAGAGAGCACUUUUCCACCAAGGCAACUCCUCUUCUAGCUGGACUUGCCGUAGCUGCAGCUGCUCUUGCUGGUCGAUAUGGAGUCCAAGCAUGGCAUGCAUACAAGUCACAACCCAUAGUUCCAAGGAUGCGCAAAUUUUAUGAAGGUGGUUUCCAAGC